GACGAACGCUGGCGGCGUGCUUAACACAUGCAAGUCGAACGGAAAGGCCCUGCUUUUGUUGGGUGCUCGAGUGGCGAACGGGUGAGUAACACGUGAGUAACCUGCCCUUGACUUUGGGAUAACUUCAGGAAACUGGGGCUAAUACCGGAUAGGAGCUCCUGCUGCAUGGUGGGGGUUGGAAAGUUUCGGCGGUUGGGUAUGGACUCGCGGCUUAUCAGCUUGUUGGUGGGGUAGUGGCUUACCAAGGCUUUGACGGGUAGCCGGCCUUAGAGGGUGACCGGCGAAAUGGGGACUGAGAGAGGGCCCAGACUCCUACGGGAGGAAGAAGGGGGGAAAAUGGAAUAAUGGGCGGAAGCCUGAGGCAGCAACGCCGCGUGCGGGAUGACGGCUUUCGGGUUGAAAACCGCUUUCGCCUGUGACGAAGCGGAAGUGACGGUAAGGGGUAAAGAAGCACCGGCUAACUACGUG
Molecule: ribosomal RNA, 468 nt
Filed under: uncultured bacterium
Lineage: Bacteria
Description: partial 16S ribosomal RNA
Rfam family: Bacterial small subunit ribosomal RNA
Source: RNAcentral